This 47-nucleotide ribosomal RNA is filed under the name Boletus edulis. RNAcentral describes it as "partial 18S ribosomal RNA". RNAcentral also lists the same sequence under 1 other name. The record is from RNAcentral. Lineage: Eukaryota; Fungi; Basidiomycota; Agaricomycetes; Boletales; Boletaceae.
UAGAGGAAGUAAAAGUCGUAACAAGGUUUCCGUAGGUGAACCUGCGG